This is a long non-coding RNA of Nilaparvata lugens (brown planthopper), 1072 nucleotides long. RefSeq lists it as uncharacterized. The record is from RefSeq and is a predicted model, not a curated record. The transcript is spliced from 2 exons. NCBI's taxonomy places the organism in Eukaryota, Metazoa, Arthropoda, Insecta, Hemiptera, Delphacidae.
AAAAUAUUUUUCACCAAUCAUGUAUUAGAUUCUAGGCCUACACUGCUAAGUUGCAAUAUCGUAGGCCGGGGCCUUGUAUUAGAGGUGGCUAUGGUACAGCCCACUGCUUUGCACUUAUUACCUAGGAGAGUGUUCUUAUCCCUAAAAUGGAUGUUUUCACACUGACCGAUUCCUCGCCGACACGACACGACAGAAAGCUCUCCGAUUAGGUUGACGUAUCAAGAAUCGGAUAGCGUCGUGUCGUGUCGUGUCGUCGAGGAAUCGGCAAGUGUGAAAACGGCCAAUGAGUGAUUGAGAGAAUAAAAGUUGAUGAGAUGAAUCUAUAGUAGCGUACAGACUUGGGCGCCAUGAACACGUUUUGCUUUCCAUCAUUUGAUGAUAUACUUAUCAUAUCUGUAUUUCUACAUAUGGAAAUUACCGAAUAUCUGUAUUUGUACAGGAACAGUGAGAUCAAUUGAUGAUAUACUAAUCAUAUCUGUAUUUGUAGAGGAACUGUGAGAUAGAGUUAUAAUCACGGUAUAUAGAAGAAGACGGUAGGUGUCACGCGCAUGUUUGUGCUAAAUUUCCGGUGUAGCUGACGUCAUUUUAUAUCCAAUCAUCUGUUUUCAAGAAAUAAGUUUCAUAAAUUGCCAAUAGGUGUUGAAAGCCUCGGUUGGUGGCGAUGACGUAAUCUAGCUAGCUGGCCACUGCGCACACAUUUCGUGGCCCCUACCGUUUUCAUCUAACUACCGUGGUUAUAAUAAGCAUAGAAUCAGCUGAUGAAAAGCGAAAUGCGCGUAUUCGUAGCACAUAAGUCUGUACGCGCCAUAUGAGUGCUAAUAGAGUAUGAUUGACAACACUCCAGAUUUCGUUUUGUGCGUGUAUCAAAGGACGUUGACAUUAUUUUAAAUAACCCUGAAGACUUGUUCACCUCCUGAUUUCUAUUAUUCUGUCUCUAUUUCAUCGUAAUAAAUUACCUAUUUUGUUUUGUUCAUAUUCCUCUAAACAAGUUCGGUCUCAAAUUUUUUUACCGUAACUGAUUUUUCGUUGUGUUCACCAUGUUCCUUGUACUGAAAUACAUGGAAAGUAAUUA